UGACUUAACGUGGAUAGGAGGUGCGUUU
RNAcentral lists this small RNA (28 nucleotides) under Bombyx mori (domestic silkworm). RNAcentral describes it as "ovarian small RNA-8183". Lineage: Eukaryota; Metazoa; Arthropoda; Insecta; Lepidoptera; Bombycidae. The record is from RNAcentral.